RNAcentral lists this ribosomal RNA (1334 nucleotides) under uncultured bacterium. RNAcentral describes it as "bacterial SSU rRNA". It matches the Rfam family "Bacterial small subunit ribosomal RNA". The record is from RNAcentral.
GAGUUUGAUCCUGGCUCAGGAUGAACGCUAGCGAUGUGCUUUAAGCAUGCAAGUGGGACGGGUCCCGCAAGGGACCAGUCGCGAACGGCUGAGUAUAAGAUAGGAAUCUACCUCUUGGUGGGGAAUACCUCGUCGAAAGACGAGCUAAUACCGCAUAAGAAUCUAAUUGAAAGCGAUUAACUUCGCGCCGAGAGAGGAGCCUAUCUCCCAUCAGCUUGUUGGUAGGGUAAUGGCCUACCAAGGCUACGACGGGUAGGGGGCGUGAGAGCGUGACCCUCCAGAACAGGACUGAGACACGGCCUGUACACCUACGGGUGGCAGCAACUGGGAAUCGUGCACAAUGGACGAAAGUCUGAUGCCGCGACAUCGCGUGAAGGAUGAAGGCCUUAGGGUCGUAAACUUCUUUUGCCAUAUGAGAAAUCAUAUGGAGAAUAAGCACUUGCUAACUCUGUGCCAGCAGUCGCGGUGAUACAGAGAGUGCAAGCGUUAUCCGGAUUUACUGGGCGUAAAGCGUUUCGUAGGCGACUUAAUAAGUUAUUCUUCAAAGACCGGAGCCCAACUUCGGAAAGGGGAGUAAUACUAUUAGGAUUGAAAUAUUUCGGGGUUACUGGAACUAUCGGUGUAGGGGUGAAAUCCGUUGAUAUCGAUAGGAACACCAAGGGCGAAGGCAGGUAACUAGGAAUCAUUUGACGCUGAGGAACGACAGCUAGGGGAGUGAAAGGGAUUAGAGACCCCUGUAAUCCUAGCCGUAAACUAUGUCCGCUAGCUCGUGGGCCUUUGGCUCAUGGGCGCAAGCUAACGCAUGAAGCGGACCGCCUGGGGAGUACGAUCGCAAGAUUAAAACUCAAAGGAAUUGACGGGAACCUGCACAACCAGUGGAGCAUGUGGUUUAAUUCGAGACGAACCGAAGAACCUUACCCGGGUUUGACAUUCUAUCGUUUUAGGUCACUAGAAAUAGAGAUUGAUCUUUUAGAAAUAAAAGAUGAUAGAACAGGUGUUGCAUGGCCGUCGUCAGCUCGUGUCGUGGGAUGUUCCCUUCAGUGGGGUAACGAGCGCAACCCCUAUCAAAUGUUGAAUUGUUCAUUUGAGACUCUUGUUAUUUUUAACGAGGGAAGUGGGGACGACGUCAGGUCAGCAUGGCCCUUAUGUCCGGGGCUACACACAUGCUACAAUGGAGCCGACAAUGGGUUGCCAAGCUGUAAGGCGGAGCUAAUCCCAUCAAACGGCUUCUCAGUGGGGAUUGAGGGCUGCAACUUGCCCUCAUGAACGUGGAAUUGGUAGUAAUCGGAGGUCAGCUAUACUCCGGUGAAUACGUUCUCAGGUUUUGCACACAC